This is a long non-coding RNA of Anser brachyrhynchus (Pink-footed goose), 1570 nucleotides long. Lineage: Eukaryota; Metazoa; Chordata; Aves; Anseriformes; Anatidae. The record is from Ensembl.
CUCUUGGCUAGCAUCUAACACCUUUGGGUAUAGACUUAAAAAGGAGCAGCUUUGUGGGCUGUAAUUAAGACUCUGGAAAGGACUUUUUUCUGGUGAUUCUCUCUGCUCGCCCACAGCAGGUUAGAUGAAGGGGUUAAUAAGGUAUUAUUUCCCCACAAAAGUCCUGACGGUGCAUUUCCUCGCAGCUUGCCUGCCAGGCUUGGCCUAGCUCUGUGGAUCAAAGGCUGGUUAUCACUAAUAUUGAGCUGUUGUAACCUCUGUCCCCUUUGAUUAAAGUGGCGCUGCUGUGAAUUUCUCAGUUAAUCACGCCUUGGCUCACGGGGUCAGCUUGCAACUUGGCAAGUUCAGAAAACUACAGCGGAGGAGAGAAAGGUAAAAUGUAUUAUGCAAAUGUGAUUAUGAUUGAGUCUGACUCCGCCCGGCCCAGGCCUUGUGCUGCUGGAGAGGCUGGAGGCAGAAGAGGAAACAGCCUGUCCUACAACAAGAGGGACUGGGCAGUGGAAAAGCGGAGGCUCCUUUCUUCUCCCCUGAACUUUCCACACCACUGGGUCUGGUUCUGCUAAGGAAGCCUCUGGCAUGGCUUCAGGGGAAUGUUCAGGAACCAUUUUGAUGAAUUCCAAUUAAGAGUCUUCCUGACACCCAGGGACAUAGAGGUCAAAGAAUGCCCUGUGCAGCACAGCAACAGACCACAGGGUGCACAGCUCAAGGUAAGAAAGUGGCAUAACGGUAAAACAGAACAGAAAAUUCCUGAAGACAUGAAAGGGCUCUGAAUGUGGAAGAAUCUUCAAGUGAAUUGUUCAGCUAAGAUUUCUGCCUAAAACCCAAAAGAACUUGAUUCUUGUAUCCUCAUGGAGAAAAUAAUGGAAUGACAAUAAUGCUUUGCAUUAUUACAUAGUGAUUAAUCUGGAAUGUAAGGUUUGCGGAGUCGGUCUCUCUGUUUAGCAGGGCACAAGUAACUUGUCAUACCAAUACUGUAGCAUUAACUGAGCUAAACUGGAGCUCUCCAGUGAGUCUGAGGGACUUAACCUCAAUGUAAAUAACUAUCCAUCUGGCUGUACAGUUGAGAAAAGAUGGUGACCUUGGACAGAAAGGUAAAAUGUACUUGCUAGAGCUGAGAGCCAUGGAUGCUUACAUAAACAAGUUGGUAGGUAUCAGUAUUGUGCAUUAUCAAAUACUGGGGGUGCACUGGAAUUCACAGCAGAGACCACUGUGAGUAGUAGGUUACUACUCUGGGAGCUCAGAGAGCAGCAUGAAGGGGCUGUUUCUCACCAUCUUUAUUCCAGGAACAUAAACUUAUCCAUGGAGGAGGUAUGGAUCAUGGUCACAAAACAGUGAUGAGUAAUGCUUUUGUUUUCAGACUGUUUCCAUCCCUCCUUCUAAUGACUGUGUUAUUCUCUCUUUGACCUCUUCAGUCUGGGCUGUAUUUUAGGUGACUUGUUCACCAUGAUUCCCAAAUGCUCUGGUGUCUCUGUCUCUUCUGAGGAAACAGUUGAUAUCUGUUCCCAGUCUGACUUUGUGAAGGCAAACAGAUCUCAGAGAAAAUAAAAAUAUUAAUGAUUUUUUGCUUUCA